Non-coding RNA from Triticum aestivum (bread wheat), 115 nucleotides. Lineage: Eukaryota; Viridiplantae; Streptophyta; Magnoliopsida; Poales; Poaceae. The record is from Rfam.
CUACUACUCCUUCCGUUCCAAAUUACUUGUCGCUGAAAUGGAUGUAUCUAGAACUAAAAUACAUCUAGAUACAUCCAUAUGUGCGACAAAUAAUUCGGAACUGAGGCAAUACUUG